Molecule: ribosomal RNA, 439 nt
Filed under: uncultured bacterium
Lineage: Bacteria
Description: bacterial SSU rRNA
Rfam family: Bacterial small subunit ribosomal RNA
Source: RNAcentral
AUUGAACGCUGGCGGCAUGCCUUACACAUGCAAGUCGAACGGCAGCACGGGAGCUUGCUCCUGGUGGCGAGUGGCGAACGGGUGAGUAAUACAUCGGAACGUACCCUGAAGUGGGGAGUAACGUAGCGAAAGUUAACGCUAAUAACCGCGUAUUCUGUGAGCAGGAAAGAGGGGGAGUCGCAAGACCUCUUGCUUUAGGAGCGGCCGAUGUCGGAUUAGCUAGUUGGUGAGGUAAAGGCUCACCAAGGCGACGAUCCGUAGCGGGUCGUGAGAGGAUGAUCCGCCACACUGGAACUGAGACACGGUCCAGACUCCUACGGGAGGCAGCAGUGGGGGAAUUUUUGGACAAUGGGCGCAAGCCUGAUCCAGCCAUGCCGCGUGAGUGAAGAAGGCCUUCGGUUGUAAGACUCUUCGUGGGAGAAAUUAGCAUGGGCGUAAU